UGGAAGUAAAAAGUCGUAACAAGGUCUCCGUUGGUGAACCAGCGGAGGGAUCAUUACCGAGUUUACAACUCCCAAACCCCUGUGAACAUACCAAUUGUUGCCUCGGCGGAUCAGCCCGCUCCCGGUAAAACGGGACGGCCCGCCAGAGGACCCCCAAACUCUGUUUCUAUAUGUAACUUCUGAGUAAAACCAUAAAUAAAUCAAAACUUUCAACAACGGAUCUCUUGGUUCUGGCAUCGAUGAAGAACGCAGCAAAAUGCGAUAAGUAAUGUGAAUUGCAGAAUUCAGUGAAUCAUCGAAUCUUUGAACGCACAUUGCGCCCGCCAGUAUUCUGGCGGGCAUGCCUGUUCGAGCGUCAUUUCAACCCUCAAGCCCGGCUUGGUGUUGGGACUCGCGAGUCAAACCGCGUUCCCCAAAUUGAUUGGCGGUCACGUCGAGCUUCCAUAGCGUAGUAGUAAAACCCUCGUUACUGGUAAUCGUCGCGGCCACGCCGUUAAACCCCAACUUCUGAAUGUUGACCUCGGAUCAGGUAGGAAUACCCGCUGAACUUAAGCAUAUCAA
This 561-nucleotide ribosomal RNA is filed under the name Fusarium brevicatenulatum. RNAcentral describes it as "eukaryotic LSU rRNA". The stretch from base 205 to 358 matches the Rfam family "5.8S ribosomal RNA". Lineage: Eukaryota; Fungi; Ascomycota; Sordariomycetes; Hypocreales; Nectriaceae. The record is from RNAcentral.